This is a long non-coding RNA of Cavia porcellus (domestic guinea pig), 4947 nucleotides long. RefSeq lists it as uncharacterized. The record is from RefSeq and is a predicted model, not a curated record. The transcript has 3 exons. NCBI's taxonomy places the organism in Eukaryota, Metazoa, Chordata, Mammalia, Rodentia, Caviidae.
UUUCGAUGGAUGUUGUUUUAAGUUACAUAGUUGGAAUAUAGUUUGUUUUAUAGAAUAUUGAAAAUGCCACAAAACAAAUCCCUAGCUCUAAAACUUCCGUGCUUAAAACUAAACACUCUUCUGAAGGAGUUCUGGCCAAUUUAAGAUGAAAACUCUACCAUUUCCAGAAAAGACGUAUGAUGGUUGGUGAGAACCAGGAAGUAAUUUGGGUCAUAAUAUGAGGUCAUAAGUGAUUGGAAGCCCAGUGGUUACCAGCAAAGGACAGCAAUAGAAAGUACCCCACAACUGGCCUAAAAAUGCUCACUGUUCUUUAUACCAGCACAAAUCGUAAGUCAGACGCACAAAUAUACUUUCAUACCUGGCAAAGAGUAAGUACUAGAGAUUCCAUAAAUGUUUGUUGUGGGAAUUGACUGAAUCCAGAAUCAGCAAGGCUUGACAGUAUUUCUUACAGUACCACCAGUGGUGGUUUAUUAAUGAACCUGCAGUUGGUUUUGUGAUGUAGAUCUGGACUCUGCCUCCCUCUGAGGCAUUUUAGUCAUAAGGAUCAAAGGUUGGAGAGUUGAAGCCACCCUGCUGGACUCCGCAGAGCAACUUUCUAAGGAUUUGGCUGGGAGUCACAUGUCUCAUGAGGUAACCCAGGCCUCUGUGGCUGCCGUGAACAUCUUGACUUGAAGUCCUGAGGAUCAGACCCAGGGCCUGGAAGGUGCUUUGACAUUGAACAAGAUCUCCUGGUCAACCAGGGACUGUGGCAGUUCCAAGAGAAAAUCAGUUGCCAACACCAGUAUUGAGCCUGUGAUCCUAGAACAUUGUGUGAUGGUAUCAAACUAUAAGAAGCAGGAGAAUUCAAUGCUGAACUUCCAGGCCAUGUUGAUGAUAGAUGUCACUGGAAAAAAUGAAAGUGCAUGGUGGCUUAUAAGUACCCCUGAAGAGCAAGGCUGACCAUCUACCUGGAGGCCCAGAAUAAUAUACAAGAUUACUUGGAUUUGAAGGUCUCUGGAAAGUCCUAAAGAAGAGACAUACGUAAUCACAAAGUCCUACACCAGCCAAAGUGGGGCAAGAUUGGCUUUGAGAAUGGUGUCAAUGUAGAGACUGUCCAACAGCAUUUAGAGGGUUGAUAGUAAAAUCAGAUACCUGGGCAAAGAGGUCUGACUACCAGUACCCUACCUAAAUAAUGCCAAAGAUGACCUUCCAACCUGGAAGAAGAAUCUGGCAGGUCAGUGGCAAUCAUUUGGAACCUCAUGGACAUCAGCAACCUGCUGGACAAGAAGGCAUCUGGAGACAAGAAGACUUUGCUUCUUCAGGAGGACUCCAAAUUCUUCAUCACCAACAUCAGUUCACUCAUUCUCCACAACACCUUCUAUGGUAGGUUCUGGGCUCCCUGAGGGACCAUUUCCAAGUUGGCCCAAAGCUCUCCAGUCAUAUGCAGGAUUGCCCCUCAAAGGGACCAGAUCAGCCACCCAAACCUAAGGAUAAGAACUUUAUCACUGAAAGAAUCCAGGGUUCCAACUGCCAAAUCCACUAGAGUCUAUCUGUUGAGGUGGAGGGCUACAAAACUGUUGAAUUUCAGUCUUUCACUUUUGAUGGGAUCAGCUUUUAAGGUAGACUUAAGGCAAAGGUAACUGAUGAGAAUUCAGAUGGCUACUGGUACAUGUAGAUUAGUGAGAAGGGUUGAGUCUCAUACCAAGGAUUAAUAAGUACAAUAAGCUCAACCUGACCUGCUGCACAAGCACACAGACCCAACCCAAGGUCCUAAUCCCCAGCUGGCAGAGGCUGGAGAAUGUGGGGUACAGUUGGUCUGCCCUGUCCCAUAGCCCUGACCUCCCGCCUCCUUUCAGCAUCCUACGUCAAGGUGAGGGAGUCUUGAGAGGACAUGGCCUUGGAAGAGAUCAUCUAUGAGAAUGAAUGCUCCAGGCACUCACUUUUUUGGCCAGAGGCUUCCUCAGGGACAGUGAUUCCACAAGGGGAUCCUCACUGUUCCUUACUGGAACAAAUUCUGCCAACUCAGAUUCCACCAAGUCAUUGUCAGUUCCAAAGCUCAAGGCAGAGAAGAACAUCCAGACAGAAAUGGAGAAGAACCUCACCUCAGCCUCCUUUUCCUCAUCCACUACUAUCAACACCAUUUGCACCCCCAAUUUUCUCCUUCCUAUUCAAGAACAGGACAACUGGAAGCCCUGCUUUGUAUUGGACACAGAUAUCCACCAUACUCCUAAGGUCAGUCCCAAGAAGGAUGCUGACAUGAAGGCUGAACUGAUGUCCGGGAUCCCAAGCCAACCAAUGGCCUGAUACAAACUUCCUGAACUGAACAGAGUCAAGAAAAAAAUGGACAUCUGCACUUUGUUGCACCAGCUGAGACCCAUGAACCAGCUGGGGGUGAGAGAUGUGGAAGUGAUUAAUGAUUCUAGCAAUGGGAAUUCAGAGCUUCCCUCCUUGCUUCCUCCAAGAUGCCUAAGAGGAGCCCAGCAGAAGGUCAGUCAACAUCAUCAUUCUCCUGGCUACCAGUCUUGUGCCCUCCCAAGAAGGAGUGGUAGGACUAGGGUGCCUUGUAUAAGACACGCUGUACUUAUCUGAAGGUCCAGGACUUGGAGAUCAUCUUCACCACAGGUGCAGAGAUGCAAGUGCUAGAGAAGCUGGAAAAAUGGAAGAGAGAUCUGGGGAGCAAGAGAGGUUGGCCCCUGCCCACUAACUGGUACCUAAUAAGAACAAGUAAUCUGACCACUCUAGCAAAGAGGCAGACACAGUGAAAAAGCAGACAUAGUAAACAGCAGGCAGAACAAGGGCAGAUCAGACAGCCUAGAAAAAAAUCAAGAAGCCAGUACAAGCACUGAACACCAUCAACCAGAACAAGAGGGCGGUGCUCCCCUCAGGACCUCAGCAAACCCCAAACACCACAGUAGUGAAAAUAAGAAACAGCAUACAACGGGCAGCACUGGCCCUGCCAGUCAAGGACAACCACUUAUCCUAUAUCCUGUGGAGGAAUAAGUCACUCACUACCACCAACAGCCUCGACAGCAUCUGCUGGAGCUAAUUCCUCUUUCAGCCCAGUGUGCUCAGUGGCCACUGGUGCCAAGGCUGAUAUGGGCACAGCAGGCCUCUGGUCAGGGAUUAGAUUCACCACUGCUGUCCACAUAGUACAACAGCACAUGCAUAAUAUCACAUGGGAUCCAUGCCCUUCAAGAAGUCCCUAGUUCAGGCACUUAUUAAUAACCUCAAGGAAAUGUAUAUCUGUAUCACAAACUAUGAAGAGGAAGAGGAGAUGGAGACCUUUCAGAAGGGGUGUCCGUGGAAGUGCUGGAAACAAACCCUAAUGACUAGUGGUACUGCCAGGUCCUGAAUGAGGUACAACCUGAGUGCCCUCCCAUUACUUUGAGAAAAAGAACUAAUGGAGGACGUGGGUCACUCCAGCCACAAUGUGUUGCAAUAGCCACUGUUAGAUGAGCAGUGACAUGCAGACCAAAUGAAGAAGGAGGAAAUAGGAGACAACACUAAAUCCUGCUGAGUGUGUUACCUCAAAUGUGUCCUUCAUUUUUGGCUUUUCCCAGUUGGGAGGGUAUGAUGGGAGCCCACGCUGAGUAAGGAAGGGAUGGUAAGAGACUCACAGAUGGGAAAUCUGGGACCCAUGUGUGCACCUUGGUGACUAUGCUGAUAGUCCAUGUACCAUUUGGGAAAGGCCAUCUGGGAAACAUCAAUCACAUCUUCACUGAAAAUCUGGAAAAGAUGUGGUCAUAAAAGACCUGCAUUAUCUUAAUCCUGCUUGACUGUUCUUGUGGCUGGCAUCUUGCCACUGAAGAUAGCCCUCCUAGUGUCCUAAUUUGUAUCUGUAAAUUGUGCUGGUUUCUCAGGGAGGCCACCAGCUGCCAUAGUGGGAGGUACAUGAUUGGGGGUUAUUUUAGAAGUUGUUUGAGAGCCUACUGAUGUCAACCUCACCGUGGAAAAAGAAAGUUUGUGGGAAGGGCUUUUCCAGUGAACUUUGGGGAAGGAUGUUUUGUUUUGGCUUUGGUUUCUAUUCUUUCCUCUUCAUAAGUCAAGUAGUUUCAUUUUGUUUCCAUUGUUUGGACAAUGCUUGACAAAAUGCCAUAUGUAGGAUCUGUGGAAAAGCAGCCACAGCACUCAUCAAGGGUGGAUGAGACCCCAACUGAGCCCCUGGCUCAGACUGGAGCAGAAAUAAUUAGCCACCCUCAGUUCCCUGCUGGCAAUGCUACAGGUGCCCAAGAAGAUGGAGGACCCCUGUACCAGAAGCCAGCAUGAUUUCCAAUGAACACUGCCUUGGUGAAGCAACAACUCAAUAAGAACUUUUUUAUAUACUGUCUAUUAACUUUGGGUUUUAUUCUUCAGCAGUUGAUAUUUCAGCAAGUACUCUCCAGAAAGAAGCAUGAAUAGCUUCCCCAGGGAUUCACUUUAUUUACUUUUUAUCUAUACUUUAUGACUUUGUUUAAAAUUGAAAUUAGCACAGUAAUUUUCUUCUGCUACACAAUAUUAAAAGCAGCAAGUUUGGAGUUCAUUGUCUAGACCAAUGUACUCAAAAAGAGAAACUCUGGAAGCAAAAUGAAAAAUAUAUUAGACAAACAAAAGCACAUAGAAUUUAUAGUCAAAAGAUAUAGCCUGCAUGAGGUAUUCAAAGAAGUUUUCUGCCAACAGAAAAAAAAGAAUAGAACUAGAAUAAUUUUUCAAAUGGAACUAUACAGAAAAUAAUUAGAAGAAUAAGGCUUUGCUACCUUGAAGAAAUGAAUAAUCAGUUCUGAUUUACUAAUUAUUGUUUAUAGUUGUCAACCAACUAUCAAAAAGGAUGUGCUAUCCAAGGUAUAUUUUUGUUUGCCUCUUAGUAUUAGUUUAUAAACUUUGAUAUUUUAAUUUGUUAAUUGUGCAUUUUUGAUGGAUAAUAAUGGGCACUUGAACACAAAAUUAAUAGGGUUAAAACAUUCUCUGUGUAAUAAAGUGUUUAUUAUUUUA